UGGGGAAUAUUGGACAAUGGGCGAAAGCCUGAUCCAGCCAUGCCGCGUGUGUGAAGAAGGUCUUCGGAUUGUAAAGCACUUUAAGUUGGGAGGAAGGGCAGUAAGCGAAUACCUUGCUGUUUUGACGUUACCGACCGAAUAAGCACCGGCUAACUCUGUGCCAGCAGCCGCGGUAAUACAGAGGGUGCAAGCGUUAAUCGGAAUUACUGGGCGUAAAGCGCGCGUAGGUGGUUCGUUAAGUUGAAUGUGAAAGCCCCGGGCUCAACCUGGGAACUGCAUCCAAAACUGGCGAGCUAGAGUAGGGCAGAGGGUGGUGGAAUUUCCUGUGUAGCGGUGAAAUGCGUAGAUAUAGGAAGGAACACCAGUGGCGAAGGCGACCACCUGGGCUCAUACUGACACUGAGGUGCGAAAGCGUGGGGAGCAAACAGG
This 429-nucleotide ribosomal RNA is filed under the name Pseudomonadota bacterium. RNAcentral's name for it is "Proteobacteria bacterium partial 16S ribosomal RNA". It matches the Rfam family "Bacterial small subunit ribosomal RNA", at positions 355 to 776 of the family's 1533-position model. Lineage: Bacteria; Pseudomonadati; Pseudomonadota. The record is from RNAcentral.